This 559-nucleotide ribosomal RNA is filed under the name uncultured bacterium. RNAcentral describes it as "bacterial SSU rRNA". It matches the Rfam family "Bacterial small subunit ribosomal RNA", at positions 55 to 611 of the family's 1533-position model. The record is from RNAcentral.
AUGCAAGUCGAACGGUAACAUUUCUAGCUUGCUAGAAGAUGACGAGUGGCGGACGGGUGAGUAAUGCUUGGGAACUUGCCUUUGCGAGGGGGAUAACAGUUGGAAAUGACUGCUAAUACCGCAUAAUGUCUUCGGACCAAACGGGGCUUCGGCUCCGGCGCAAAGAGAGGCCCAAGUGAGAUUAGCUAGUUGGUAAGGUAACGGCUUACCAAGGCGACGAUCUCUAGCUGUUCUGAGAGGAAGAUCAGCCACACUGGGACUGAGACACGGCCCAGACUCCUACGGGAGGCAGCAGUGGGGAAUAUUGCACAAUGGGGGAAACCCUGAUGCAGCCAUGCCGCGUGUGUGAAGAAGGCCUUCGGGUUGUAAAGCACUUUCAGUUGUGAGGAAAAGUUAGUAGUUAAUACCUGCUAGCCGUGACGUUAACAACAGAAGAAGCACCGGCUAACUCCGUGCCAGCAGCCGCGGUAAUACGGAGGGUGCGAGCGUUAAUCGGAAUUACUGGGCGUAAAGCGCACGCAGGCGGUUUGUUAAGCUAGAUGUGAAAGCCCCGGGCUCA